Molecule: non-coding RNA, 12697 nt
Organism: Solanum lycopersicum (tomato)
Lineage: Eukaryota; Viridiplantae; Streptophyta; Magnoliopsida; Solanales; Solanaceae
Source: RefSeq, a predicted model, not a curated record
GAUAACUCCGUGUCACUGCUCUCCGGUGACGAUGGCCGAUCAAGAUCAAUUUUCCCAUCUUGGUAUUCUUCCAUCCAUAAAAUCUCGACAACUUGAGUGAAUUGAAAUUCACGCAUGCUGUCGAUGGCCGAUCAGGAUCAAGAAUUCUCCACUGGAUUGCUGUCUCAGUGACGAUUUCGAUCAAAACCCUAAACCCCAAAUCGUAGAAUCCUCGAUGAUUCAGGUAUCUGUUGCAAUAGGAAUUGGACCUGCUAUGUAAAUGUGGCAAACUGAUGCUUGCAGCCAUGCUGGGUUUCAAAGCUUUUCAGCAAAUCAUUUUUGGGCGUCGCAGAGUUCAAUUUUUUUUGCUGGUAAAUCACCCUUUAGUGAAACUACAGGAUCUUCUACUUUUCUUGUUCUUUUAUUACUCUCUCUUGUAUAACUCAAAAAAAGCAACUUAGCAUGUUCUCUUUGAGCUGAACAACUGUUGAUUGGCAUGGCAGCUCAGGCGGGUAUAUGAGAUUUAGGAGAAAGUUACAUUUUAUGGUGUGUUUUCUCUGUCUCAUAAGGCUUAAUGAUGCUUGCAGCCAUGACAGACCGAUUUUUGCAGUCAUUCUGGGUGUCAAAGAUUUUGAGCUAAUCAUGUUUGGUUGUUGCAAGUUCAAUAUUUUUGUCACUAAAUCAUCCUUUUUGUGAAACUACACGACCAUCUUCUUUCUUGUUCUUAUUACUCUCUCCUGUAUAACUCAAACAAGGCAAUGAAAAUCUCUCUUGAGCUGAAAUACUGUUGCUUGGCAUGGAACCUCAGGUGGGAAUAUGAGAUUUAGGAGAAAGUUCCAUUUCAUGGUGCAUCUUCUCUGUAUCAUGAUGCGUGUAGCCACGAACAGAUUCCAAAGCUUUUAAGUUGGUUCGUGUUUCGGCUUAGAAAAAUUCAGUUUCCUUCCCACCCUCCCCAAACCGCCCUUUUCAUGAAAUUAAACAUGACCUUCCUCUUCUUUUUUUUUUUAUUACUCUCGCUGCUCCGUUUAUUAAAACAUGAGGAUGUGGAGGUUUUGCCUUCUGGGGAGUUCAAUAUUUCUUGUUGCUCUUCAGGUGGGUUCAGUGUUACGAAAGGCGCUCGCCUCGUCGCCAAAGGCGAGAGGCGAGGCGAGGCGAGGGUGGCUCGCCAUUCUCUGGCGAGGCGAGGCGAGGAGAAAAAGGCGAGCCCCUGGCGAACUAUGGCGAUGAAAUGGCGAGCGAAAGGCGCCGCCUUUUUGAUUAAAAAAUUUUGACUUAAUAAUAUUAGUCAAAAUUAGGGUUUUUUUUUUACUUUUGAAAAUUUCUGAAAUCCUCCACAUCGCGACUCUCUCUCUCUCUCUCUAUCGAUCGAUUGACUUUUCUCUUCUCAUCCAUCGCAUCGCUGCUCCCUCGCUGUCCCUCGCUGUCGCGCAUCUCUGCUCCCUCGCUGUCGCGUCUCUGCUCCCUCGCUGUUGCGUCUCUUCUCCCUCGCCGACGACCCUCGCGACUCUCACUCUCUGUUUUCAGGUAAUGUUUUCUCAUUUCUGAUUUCUCUCUCCUUCUUCUGUUCUUAUUUUUUCUGUUCUUCUUCAUUUUUAUUUUUAUUUUUGGUAAGCUGCAGUCAGGCAGUGCUUACUGCUUUGUGUAACUGUAAAGUGUUAAUUUUUUUUAAAAAAUUCUUUGCUAAUAUGUGUUAUUGCUAUUAAGACUUUGGAUAAAAUAUGCAAUUAAAUAUUUUUAAUUUUUGGUAUUAAUUGGCGCCUUUAUUCAAAAAGGCAAGCGCCUCGCCGCGUGGCGAGGCAGGCCCUUGUCGCCUUUUGUCGCCUCUCGCCGUCCACAACACUGGGUGGGUUUAUGAGAUUGUAAUUAAAUUUCCAUCUCAUGGUGUUUCUUCUCCAUCUCACAGGCCUGAUUGAUGCUUGUAGCCACGACAGAUUUCAAUUCUUCUGAGCUCAUCAUGUUUUGGAUUUAUAGAGUUCAGUUUUGUUUCUUUCGCCAAACCACCAUUUUGGUGAAAUCACACACGACCUUCCCUUUUUCUUAUUUUUAGUGCUCUUUCCAAUAUAACUCAAAAAGGGCAAUCGUUCACUCUAGAGCUGAAAAACUGUUUUUUGGCAUGGCAUCUCAUGUGGGUCUCUGAGAUUUUUGAAGAAGUACCAUUUCUUGGUGUUUUUUCUCUGUCUCUCAAGGCUAACUAAUGCUUGCAGCCAUGACAUGUUUCUAAGCUUUUGGGCUGAUUCGUGUUUUGUGUUGAGUUUCUUACCCAUCCCUCGGUCGAACCACCCUUUUUGUGAUAUUACACAAGCACUUUCUCUUUUCUUGUUCUUUAUACUCUGCUCCAUUUAUACACAAUGAGGUUUUGGAGGUUUUCAUCCAUCGAUGUUCAAUUAAACAUGUCUCAUGUCAAACUAAAGAACUUCUGCUUGGCACGACACUUCAGGUGGGUCAUGAGAUUUUGGGAAAUGUUCCACUUAUUGGUCUUUCUUCUCUGUCUCCUAGGGAAGCUGGUGCUUGCUGCCAUGCCUGGGUUUCGAAGCUUUUGAGCUAAUCAUGUUUGGGCAUUGCAAAGUUCAGUUGUUUUGUCACUAUAUCAUCCCUUUGGUGAAACUACAUGACCUUUUACCUUUCUUGUUCUUAUUACUCACUCAUGUAAAAUUCAAAAAAAAAAAGAAGCAAUUUAACAAGUUCUCUCUUGAGCAGAAAAACUGUUGCUUGGAGUAAGUUCCAUUUCAUGGUGCAUAUUCUCCGUCUCAUAAGGCUUACUGAUGCUUGCAGCCAAGACAGAUUUCAAUGUUUUUGAGUUAAUUUGUUUUUCGGCUUGGCAAAGUUCAAUUUCCUUUCCCCCUUACCCAAAUCACCCUUUCCGUGGAAUUACACAUGAGCUCCUCUGUUUGUUAUUCUUAUACAUCUUUUUCCUCUGUUGAUAAACCAUGUUAAGAAACCAAGAGGAAGUGGAGGUUUUUUUCUUUUGUGCAAUUUCAAUAGAACUUGUUGUCUCUCAAGGUGAUUAAACUGUUGCUUGGUAGUAGGUGCGACACCUCAGAUGGGUCUAGAUUUUGGAAAUAAAUUUCUAUUUCAUGGUGUUUAUUCUUCAUCUCACUUGACUAGCCGAUACUUGUAGCCACGACAGAUUUCAAUGCUUUUGUUCUAACCGUGUUUUGGCUUAGCAUGUUCAGUUUUUUUCUCUCACAAACCUCCUUUUUUGGUUAUAUUACGCAUGACCUUCCAUUUUUCAUAUUUUAGUUCUCUCCCUGUAUUUCUCAAAAUGGCAAUCAAACAUGUUCUCUCUUGAGCUGAAUAACUAUUGCUUGGCUUGGCAUCUCAUGUGGGUUUGGGUGAUUAUGGGGAAACAUCCAUUUCAUUGUGUAUUUUUCUGUCUCACAAGGUUAACUAAUGCUUGCAGCCCUGACAGGUUUCUGAGCUUUUGAGCUGAUUCAUGUUUUUGUCCCACCCAUCACCUAACCAUUAUAUUCAAUCAAACAUGUUGCUUGUCGAGCUAAAGAACUGUCGCUUGGCACAACACAAACAUGUUGAUUCAUGUUCUCUUUUGAGCUAAAAUUUGAUGCUUGGCAUGACACCUUAGGUGGGUAUAUGAGAUUUAGGAGAAAGUUUCAUUUCAUGGUGCAUCUUCUCUGUCUCAUAAAGCUAACUGUUGCUUGCAACCAUGACAGAUUUCAAAGCUUUUCAGUUGAUUCGUGUUUUGGCUUGGCAAAGUUCAGUUUCCUUUCACCCCUCCCCAAACCACCCUUUUUGUGAAAUUGCACAUGACUUUCCUCUUUUGUUAUUCUUAUUACCCUUUCUGCUCAGUUUGUAUACCAUGAGGAUGUGGAGGUUUUGUCUUUCCUGGAAGUUCAGUUAAACUUGUUUUCUCUCGAGCUGAUGAAACUGUUGCUUGUCACGGCACCUCAGGUGUCUCCAUCUUUUGACAAGUACCAGCUCAAGAAUGAGGCAUUUGAACGAAAUGUUGGAUUAUUGAGGGGUGGUUGCCUCCCUUCUCUUGAAAUUGGUAAUAAUACUCAUUGGAGGCCAAAUAGACAUCGACGGCAAGUGUUUGUACCUUGGAAUUUGAUGAUUGCACGCAAUAUGUUGGCACACCAGGUUGUGGAGGUUUUGUCUUUUGAGGAAGCUCAAUAAUUUUUGUUUUCUUUGGAGCUAAUCAAAUGAUGCUUGACACCACUCGUCCGCCACGACAGAUUUCAAUGCUUCUGAGCUCAUCGUGAUUUGGCUUUGCACAGCUCAAUUUUUUUCACUCACCAAACCACCCUUUUGGUGAAAUUACACGACCUUCCAUUUCCCAUAUUUCUAGUUGUCUUUCCGGUACAACUCAAAAGGGCAAUCAAACCUGUUCUCUCUUGAGCUGAAUAGCUGUUGCUUGGCAUGGCAUCUCAUGUGGGUAUGUGAUAUUUUUGAAGAAGCACCAUUUAUUGGUGUUUUUUCUAUCUCUCAAAGCUAACUAUUGCUUGCAGCCAUGACAUGUUUCUAUGCUUUUGAGUUGAUUCGUGUUUUGAGUUGAGUUGGAACAUACAUUUUGGUGCUUAGGUACUUCUAGCCCAGCUUAUGGAGAGAGUAUAUGUGCCUGUUUCUUUCAUCUUCUGUUACGUUUCCUUUUUGUCUGGCCAUCUUAUCUUAUGGUUUUGAAUGCUUGCUUUACACCCGUGACAUCGAAAUACACCAUUCAGAUGAUAUGCAUGCUUUCCCAGCAAGCUUUGAUUGAAAAGGAGAGACUCUAUGCUCUUAGAUUUCUAAUGUUUCUUUAUUGGAAAUUGUUAGUUAAACUCACAGGAGGCCAAAUGGAUAUUGUAAGGUUUUAAAGGUACAAUUCUUUUGAGUUUUAGUUGGCAGCAUCCAUUAGGAUAUGUAUGAAACUACUAACUUGGUCUUUGUUCUUGCCAUUCUUUACAAGAUGGCAACAAGUGUUUAUGCCUUGAUGAUUGUAGACAAAAUAAUUGUACAGCAGGUAAUCUGCAUAUUGAGACUACUGAUACAUGAGUUGACUGUUGUUUACUGAUAAGGAAAUUUCUAGGAAGCAAAUGUACUCCAAGUACUUCUAGUUUUCUGACAAACAAAUAAAAAUAUUGAAUUAUAUAUGUUACUUUCUAAAGCUGUACUAUGUCUUGAUUGAUCUUUUUGUUUGCAUAUAUAAUCUGAAAGGCCAAAGAGGGUGUUGCAUUCUAUGAAAGAGUCUAGAGUCUCUGCUAAGAAUCACCCCUGUGCAUUCCAGUGUCUCCUUCAAAGUUUCCAUUUUUGUUAUUUUUAGUACUCUUUACGGUAUAACUCAAAAUGGCAAUCAAACAUGUUCUCUAUUGAACUGACAAACAUGUGCUUGUUAUGACAUCUCAUGUGGGUCUGUGAUAUUUUGGAGAAAUUUUCAUUUUAUGAUGUUUAUUCUCAGUCUCAGAAGGUCGUGGCUUACUGAUGCUUACAGCCAUGACAGGUUUCUAAGCUUUUGAGCUGAUUCGUGUUUUGACCUGACAAUGUUCAGUUCCUCUCCAACCCCUCAUUGAACCUCCCUUUUCGUGAUAUUGCACAGGCACUCCCUCUUUUGUUGUUCUUAGUACUCACUCUGCUCUGUUUUAUAUACAUUGAAGAUAUAUAGGUUUUCAUCUGUCGAUGUUCAAUCAAACAUAUUGCCUGUCCGGAUAAAGAAUUGUUGCUUGGCACGGCACUUCAAGUGGGUCUAUGAGAUUUUUUGAAAAGUUCCAUUUUUGGUCUUUCUUCUCUGUCUCAUAGGCAAACUGAUGCUUGCAGCCAUGUUGGGUUUCAAAAUUUUUGAGCUAAUCAUGUUUGGGCAUCGCAAAGUUCAAUUCAUUUUGUUGGUAAAUCACCCUUUUUUGUUGAACUACACAACCUUCUACUUUUCUUGUUCUUAUAUUACACUCUUGUAUAACUCAAGAAAAAGCAAUUUAGCAUGUUCUCUCUUGAUCUGAAAGCUGUUGAUUGGCAUGGCAGCUCAGGUGGCUAUAUGAGAUUUUGGAAAAAGUUUCAAUUCAUGGUGCAUCUUCUCCGUCUCUUAAGGCUUACUGAAGCUUGCAGCCAUGACAGACCGAUGCUCGCAGCCAUUCUAGGUGUCAAAGCUUUUGAGUUAAUCAUGUUUGAGUAUCGCAAAGUUCAAUUCUUUUGUCGCUAAAUCAUCCUUUUUUUGAAACUACACAACCAUCUUCUUUCUUGUUCUUACUCUAUAGUAUAACUCAAACAAGGCAAUUUAAUAUCUCUCUUGAGCUGAAAUACUGUUGUGUGGCAUGUGGGUCAAUGAGAUUUUGGGAGAAAGUUCCAUUUCAUAGUGCAUCUUCUCUGUAUCAUAAGGCUAUAACUGAUGCUUGCAGCCAUGACAGAUUUUAAAGCAUUUGAGUUGGUUUGUGUUUUGGCUUAGCAAAAUUCAGCCCCCCCCCCCCUUCCAAACUACUCUUUUCGUGAAAUCACACAUGACCUUCCUCUUUUUUUUAAAAAAAAAAAAAAUUAUUCUCUCUGCUCCUUUUAUAAACCAUGAGGAUAUGGAGGUUGUCUACCGUGGAAUUUCAAUAAUUCUUGUUUUCUCGCGAGCUAAUUAAAUGAUGCUUGACACCGCUCCUCAGGUGGGUCUAUGAGAUUUUGGAAUUAAAUUUUCAUUUCAUGGUGUUUCUUCACCAUCUCACACAGCGAAUUGAUGCUUGUAGCCACGACAGAUUUCAAUGCUUUAUGAGCUAAUUGAGUUUGGGUUCGCAAAGUUCAUUUUUUUUUUUCUUACCAAAUCACCCUUUUGGUGAAAUUACUCACGACCUUCCAUUUUUCUAAUUUUUAGUACUCUUUCUGGUAUGACUCAAAAGGGCAAUCAAACCUGUUCUUUCUUGAGCUGAAAAGCUGUUGCUUGGCAUGGCAUCACAUCGGGAUCUGUGAGACUUUUGAAGAAGUAUCAUUUCUUGGUGUUUUUUCUCUCUCUCAAGGCAGACUAAUGCUUGCAGCCAUGACAUGUUUCUAAGCUUUUGAGUUGGUUCGUGUUUUGAGUUGAGUUUAUUUCCCAUCCCUCACCGAACAACCCUUUUCAUGAUAUUACACAUGCACUUCCUCUUUUCUUGUUCUUAGUACUCACUCUGCUCCAUUAUAUACACAAUGAGGAUUUGGAGGUUUUCAUCCAUAAAUGUUCGAUCAAACUUAGCUCAUGAUGAAGUAAAGAACUGUUGCUUGGCACAACGCUUCGGGCGGGUCUAUGAGAUUUUGGGAAAUGUUCCAUUUUUGGGUCUUUCUUCUCUGUCUCAUAGGCAAACUGGUGCUUGCAGCCAAACUGGGUUUCGAAGCAUUUGAGCUAAUCAUGUUUGGGCGUCACAAAGUUCAAUUUAUUUUGUCGGUGGGUAGAUCUGAUUUAGGAGAAGGUUCCAUUUCAUGGUGCAUCUUCUCUGUCUAGUGAAGCUGUCUGAUAUUUAGGAGAAAGAGAGCUGCAGCAGCGCAUUUUAGAAACUCGCCACCUCAAAUACACCGAUCGCCUGUUUUCCUCCCAGAGUCCUUCACGGAUCGGCUCUUAAGAUGCCCAAUUCUAGCCUACUUUUUAAGAAAAAAGAUUUAGAACUUGGUAUCAAGAAAGAAACCUAAACACAUUUUCCCUCAUUCUUAUCUGCUGGAAAAUUCUUGCAAGCCUUCUUUAGAAAAAAUCAAGAACUUUGCUUUUUAAAGUUACAUUGGUAUUCAAAAAUACAUAUUUUCACAAAAUCGAGAAUUUUUGCAUGAAUGCUUUUUUUAAAAAUUCUUGAACUUGUUGCCAUAUUUUAAGGAAAUUGUAGUUUUCAGGAAUAUAUUGGCAUUGCACAUGUCAGAAUUUUUUUUUUGAAAAUAUUAUGUUUUUAUUCUUGCAAUGUGUGUUAAGGGUGUUCAAGAUUUUGUUUUUACCUUUUUAGUGAGAUCGGUAGCAUUAAGUGAAUGCCUCAGGCUAUUUGGAGCUUCACCCAGUUUCCAUCAGUUAUAUGUUGCUAUAGGCAUUGGUACCUGCUACGGUAUGGUGGAUGGCAAUGAUAUACCUGUGAAUUAUGAGAUCAGGAAAAAGAGGUGCAGGCCCAGAGUUGAGAAGCGAAACUGAACUUCCUUCCCCACAGCCAAAGAAACUGACUGGAUAGUGCACUGUCAGGAGAGAGAUUUGAUCUUCACAGAAUAUUAUGUGGGGAAAUGCUUCUGAAAAGCAUGAUCCCGAGUCCAAAUUCCCCUUUGUCAGAUCAAAAACUCAAGUCGGUCAAUCGAUGGCUCUCUUGCUCAUUGCAGAGUCGGCGUAAACUGGAUAUCCAGAAACUCUAUGCAAUCCCUUUCAUCUAACAUUUUACCUACAGAGGACUAUUUCCUGGUUAAGAAAUUCAGUGCUUCAGAUAGAUUCUAACAGUUAUAGCUUGCAUAUCAAGCUUCAUUUAUGCGAUCGGGGAGAGGUUGCUACAUGAGAGAAGGAAACCAUUUAUGCGAAGCCCUAUGCGCAGAAGUCUGACCCCUGAUGGAUCAUCCUUCGAUAGUGAUGAAGAUAUUAGGUUUGAAAAAUGUCUCCUGGUUUUGAGAAACUUCUCCAACUUAGAUCAAGGUAUUGCACAGGGACUGGGAGGCAUAAUAGUCGUGACACGUGCAAGUUGACCUGAACAUCACCCUCGGAAUUUUAUUUUAUUUUAUUUUUUGCAGAGAGAGACAAGGCAAGUGAGGUUUGGUUGAUUUGCAUCAUAAUUUCAGAUUCCUGCUGAUUUGGUAGGAUCAGCUUGUUCAGAUUGUUAGUGUGCCUGAAGAACACAGAAACAUCCACGUGGCAAUACUAUUCAGAAUCAAUUGGAUUAAGGUGGGAGUUGAAUACAAAUCUCUACGGAGGAACGAAUGUUUGACCAAGGAAAAUCAGAUGUCAGGCGCUGACCUGUUCAACAACAAGAAACAGAACGUCUUCAGCUAAACUACACUUAUGUUGGGAACGGGAGGUCAAGUGAUGAUCUCACUGCAUAUGGACUUAUAUCUAAACUUUCGAGGCGGUUUCCAGAUUUAGUGAGUUUAUCUUCACUGGAUGAGGAUCAUCUUGUUCAGGUUUUUCUACUGUUUUUGCCUUUUUCCGAUGUAGUAUCUAGUUUCACGUUUUCAUGAUUUAAUUGGCUUUUUGGGAACUCCAACUGUGCUUAGGAGGUUGAUGACCUACUUUAAAGCUAGACCUCCUGAUAAUAGCUGAUGAUUUUAAUGAUAUUUAUUGAUAGAUCAGAAAAACAAGGAGGAAGAAGUAGAGAUACUUGGACCUUUAGAUACUUUAAGAACUUUAUAUGGAACUUAGGUGCAGUUGACUUAGGUUAUGAUGGAAAACCUUGGACGUGGUGGUGUUACAGGGAAAAUGAGGGUAUAAUCCAGGAAAGGCUAGAUCGUGUCUUAGUCUCUCCUAAUUGGAAAAUUAAAUUUGAGAAAGUGAAUGUGCAACAUAUUGAAACUGAGGCAUCAGAUCAUUCUGCCUUGAUGUUGUCUCCUGAUGCUGAACCAAUAAGGAAGAAAAAGCGGUUUUACUUUGAUAAAAGGUGGAUUGAGCAUGAAGGGGUUGAGAAUAUUAUUUCAAAAGCUUGGUCGUAUGAUUGUAAUGGCUUUGAGCAAUCUCAAGUUAGCUUUAAAAUCAAACAUUGUUGUAGAUCUUUGGUGGCUUGGUUAAGUGGGGUAAUGGUAAUGCAAGAAAGAGAAUUAUUAGCAUUAAGGGAAAGAUUACAACCCUUAGGAAUAACGCUAGUAAUUUUGACUGGAGUAAAUUAAGGUCACUGAAAAGGGAGCUAAGCAAAGCCUAUAUGAUGAAGAAACCUUUUGGAAACAGAAGUCUAGAGCCUUAUGGUUGCAUGAAGGGGAUAAAAAUACAUCAUAUUUUCACAUGGCAACCUUGCAAAGAGUUCCAGACAUCUGAUGUGAGGUGGGUGGUAGACCAAAUUGAUAUAAUUCAAGAAGUUGAGCAGUAUUAUAACAGUCUAUUCUCUACAUCUAACCCGACAGACUUGAACUGUAUCUUAAAUCAUAUUACAAUGAUUGUUAGUGAUUCUAUAAAUCAGGAUUUAAUUAAGGAAGUUGAUGAUGAGGAAAUAAAGAAUGUGGUGUUUGCAAUGCAUCCUCUUAAAGCGCCCGGUAUUGAUGGUAUGACUCCUCUAUUUUUUCAAACGUAUUGGAAUAUCUUAUAGAAGGAAAUCUGUGAUGCUGUUAAAAGUUUCUUUGGUACAGGAUAUUUACUCCCUACAUGGAACCAUACUUUAAUCACUUUAGUGCCCAAAGUUAAAAGCCCCACCUUGGUUUCGCAAUUUAGACCAAUAAGUUUAUGUUCUACCUUGUACAAGAUCAUUGCAAAAAUUCUGGCUGCAAGAAUGACAUGUGUUCUAACUAAGGUGAUAUCCCCUACUCAAGCGGCUUUCAUAUGUUGGAUAUGUCGAAAGCCUAGGACAGAGUUAAAGGGAUUUAUUUACAAGAAAUGCUUUUACGAAUGGGUUUCUAUAAAAGAUUUGUCGAAUGGAUAAUGCAAUGCAUCUCUACACCUACUUAUAGUCUUAAUAUAAAUGGGAGAUAGUUGGAUCGGUUAAACCUACCAGGGGGAUAAGACAAGGAGAUCUAAUAUCACCAUUUUUAUUUUUAACAUGUGCUGAAGGUUUAUCAACCUUAUUGAACAUAUCUGAGUAACAAAAUGAAAUCCAAGGGCUAAAGUUGAAUAGACAUGGGCCAAGUGUGACUCAUUUACUUUUUGCUGAUGUAUCCUUUAUAUUUUGUUCAGUUAACAAUCAAAAUGCAAGUUGUGUAGCCAAUAUCUUAAAGAAAUAUGAACGAAGCUCUGGGCAAGUGGUUAAUCUAGAUAAAUCAGCAAUCUGUUUCAGUAAAAAUGUGAGAGAGGAGGAGAAAGUUGAGAUAUCCUUGUCGUUUGGACAACGACAAAGGAAUGACAUGGGUAUGUACUUAGGUUUAUCGGCUGUUGUGGGACGCUCCAAGAAAAGGAUGCUAGAGUUUAUAAAAGAAAGAGUCCAAACGAAAAUAGAAGGAUGGAAGGUUAAAAUUUUUAAGUACUGCAGGAAAAGAAAUUAUGCUCAAGUCCGUACUAGCAGCGAUUCCUACGUAUGCGUUUUCUUGUUUCCAACUCCCUGAUGGUGUAUGUAAGGAAAUUACAUCCCUUUUUUUCAAAUUUUUGGUUGGGACAAACAGAGGAGAAAAGAAAGAUGCAUUUUGAGAAAUAGGAUUGAUUAUGUCAUUCUAAAUCAAUAGGAGGAUUAGGCUUUAGACAUCUAAAAGCUUUUAAUAUGGCUCUAUUUAGCUAAGCAAGCUUGGCGAAUUCUAUCUCAACCAGAUUCUUUAAUAGCAAGAGUUCUUAAAAGCAAAUAUUUUCCUAACUCAACCUUUUCUAAAGCUUCAACAUCAUCUCUGGUUCCUGGAUAUGGAAGAGUAUUUUGUGGGGGAAGAGAUCUUUGGCUAAAGGAUUAAGAUGGCGGAUUUCUGAUGGGAAAUAUAUCAAUGUGUUGAUCGGCCCUUGGAUACCAAAUAAUAAUGGGUUCAUACCUAAGAAGAUUCAUGGGCAUAGAAAUUUAGAUUUAGUAGUAUCUGAUUUAAUUGAUAAGAAUAUGCACGCAUGGAAAAUACAGGAGCUAAAUUCGUUGUUUGAAGCUGAAGAUGUUAAUGCUAUAUUGUCUACCCCAAUUUCUAUUGCAGGUUCUAAUGAUAGGUUAAUAUGGCACCAUGCAAAACAGGAGACUAUGAAGUUAAGUCAGGUUACUACAUCGCAAAGGAUUUGAUCUGUAAAACAAAGAAAAAUCUGGAAGCUCAAGCGAGUUGUCAUUCUUUUCCAAAAUGUUUUGGGACUUCCUAUGGAAGUUGGGAGUUAAGAAUAAGCUUAAACACUUUUUGAGAAAAUGUGUUCUUAACUCUCUACCCGUUCAGAGUAAUUUAGCAAAAAGACUACACAAAGUAGAUAAGACUUGUAAGAUUUGUGGUCUUGGACCUGAAGAUAUAGGACAUAUGUUAUUCAAAUGCCCUCGGUCUCAACUUGUGUGGAAGCAAUGUCCUAUAAAUUGGCCUGAUAUAGGAUAUAUUAAUGAUUUUUCUAUAUGGUGGUAUGGCUUGUUCUUAAAUACCAAAUCUUUUCCUGAAUCUAUUGACUUGUUAAACUUGAGCGCUAACAUUAUGUGGCAAAUUUGUAAAGGUAGGAAUAGUUGGUUGUUUAAUCAGGAAAGGUUAGAAACAAGAGAUAUUGUCUCUAGAUCCAUGUUCGAGUAUAAAGAAUAUAAAGAGUUACUAACAAAAAGUUUUUCAUCUUGUUCAUCUAGAAAUCAUCCUGUGAUUAAAUUAACAAAUUUGCAAGAUGGAAUGUUAUUGUUUACCGAUGCAGGAUUGCAGAAUGAUGAUGGAAGGGCAAGUAUCGGUUUUGUGGCUUUGGAUAGCCUUGGAAACCUGCUUCAUGCCCAUGGAGCCCCAAUCCAAUUUGUUGGGGAAGUCAUGACUGCUGAAGCAAUUGCUAUUAGGAAAGCUCUUGAAUAUGCUAUCACUAAGGAUGGAAGAGAGUGAAGAUUUUAUCAGAUGCUAAAAAUGUUGUUUAUAUGAUUUAGAAAUGAGCACAGACUUCAUGGGAGAUAGAAGUGUUGUGUGAAGACAUUUGGAAGCUUUCAAGCAUGUUCAUUUAUGUAGAAUUUAUAUAUAUUUGUAGAUUUAUGAAUAAAAUAGCGGAUAGGUUAGCUAGAUACUCUAUCUCUUUGUUGAAGGAAAUCCUUGGGAGAAGUUUUUCCCAAGUUGGAUCAUUCAGGAUGCAAAA